GGGGGAGCAAACAGGAUUAGAUACCCUGGUAGUCCACGCCGUAAACGAUGUCGAAUUGGAGGUUGUGCCCUUGAGGCGUGGCUUCCGGAGCUAACGCGUUAAGUCGACCGCCUGGGGAGUACGGCCGCAAGGUUAAAACUCAAAUGAAUUGACGGGGGCCCGCACAAGCGGUGGAGCAUGUGGUUUAAUUCGAUGCAACGCGAAGAACCUUACCUACUCUUGACAUCCAGAGAACUUAGCAGAGAUGCUUUGGUGCCUUCGGGAACUCUGAGACAGGUGCUGCAUGGCUGUCGUCAGCUCGUGUUGUGAAAUGUUGGGUUAAGUCCCGCAACGAGCGCAACCCUUAUCCUUUGUUGCCAGCGGUCCGGCCGGGAACUCAAAGGAGACUGCCAGUGAUAAACUGGAGGAAGGUGGGGAUGACGUCAAGUCAUCAUGGCCCUUACGAGUAGGGCUACACACGUGCUACAAUGGCAUAUACAAAGAGAAGCGACCUCGCGAGAGCAAGCGGACCUCAUAAAGUAUGUCGUAGUCCGGAUUGGAGUCUGCAACUCGACUCCAUGAAGUCGGAAUCGCUAGUAAUCGUGGAUCAGAAUGCCACGGUGAAUACGUUCCCGGGCCUUGUACACACCGCCCGUCACACCAUGGGAGUGGGUUGCAAAAGAAGUAGGUAGCUUAACCUUCGGGAGGGCGCUUACCACUUUGUGAUUCAUGACUGGGGUGAAGUCGUAACAAGGUAACCGUAGGGGAACCUGCGGUUG
RNAcentral lists this ribosomal RNA (758 nucleotides) under Citrobacter freundii. Its description in RNAcentral is "bacterial SSU rRNA". It matches the Rfam family "Bacterial small subunit ribosomal RNA", at positions 762 to 1520 of the family's 1533-position model. The record is from RNAcentral. Lineage: Bacteria; Pseudomonadati; Pseudomonadota; Gammaproteobacteria; Enterobacterales; Enterobacteriaceae.